AGAACGAACGCUGGCGGCAGGCCUAACACAUGCAAGUCGAACGCUCGUAGCAAUACGAGAGUGGCAGACGGGUGAGUAACACGUGGGAACCUUCCCUAUGGUUCGGAAUAGCUCAGGGAAACUUGAGGUAAUACCGGAUAAGCCCUUACGGGGAAAGAUUUAUCGCCAUUGGAUGGGCCCGCGUCGGAUUAGCUAGUUGGUGAGGUAACGGCUCACCAAGGCGACGAUCCGUAGCUGGUCUGAGAGGAUGAUCAGCCACACUGGGACUGAGACACGGCCCAGACUCCUACGGGAGGCAGCAGUGGGGAAUAUUGGACAAUGGGCGCAAGCCUGAUCCAGCCAUGCGCGUGAGUGACGAAGGCCUUAGGUUGUAAAGCUCUUUUGGCGGGGAAGAUAAUGACGGUACCCGCAGAAUAAGCUCCGGCUAAACUUCGUGCCAGCAAGCCGC
RNAcentral lists this ribosomal RNA (448 nucleotides) under uncultured soil bacterium. RNAcentral describes it as "bacterial SSU rRNA". It matches the Rfam family "Bacterial small subunit ribosomal RNA", at positions 26 to 518 of the family's 1533-position model. The record is from RNAcentral.